AUUGAACGCUGGCGGCAUGCCUUACACAUGCAAGUCGAACGGCAGCACGGACUUCGGUCUGGUGGCGAGUGGCGAACGGGUGAGUAAUACAUCGGAACGUGCCCAAUCGUGGGGGAUAACGUAGCGAAAGCUACGCUAAUACCGCAUACGAUCUAAGGAUGAAAGCGGGGGAUCGCAAGACCUCGCUCGAAUGGAGCGGCCGAUGGCAGAUUAGGUAGUUGGUAGGGUAAAGGCCUACCAAGCCGACGAUCUGUAGCUGGUCUGAGAGGAUGAUCAGCCACACUGGGACUGAGACACGGCCCAGACUCCUACGGGAGGCAGCAGUGGGGAAUUUUGGACAAUGGACGCAAGUCUGAUCCAGCCAUUCCGCGUGCAGGAUGAAGGCCCUCGGGUUGUAAACUGCUUUUGUACAGAACGAAAAGGCUCUGGUUAAUACCUAGGGCUCAUGACGGUACUGUAAGAAUAAGCACCGGCUAACUACGUGCCAGCCGCCGCAGUAA
RNAcentral lists this ribosomal RNA (500 nucleotides) under uncultured bacterium. RNAcentral's name for it is "partial 16S ribosomal RNA". It matches the Rfam family "Bacterial small subunit ribosomal RNA", at positions 30 to 523 of the family's 1533-position model. The record is from RNAcentral.